RNAcentral lists this ribosomal RNA (94 nucleotides) under Escherichia coli. Lineage: Bacteria; Pseudomonadati; Pseudomonadota; Gammaproteobacteria; Enterobacterales; Enterobacteriaceae. The record is from RNAcentral. RNAcentral also lists the same sequence under 2 other names.
CCUGGCGGCCUUAGCGCGGUGGUCCCACCUGACCCCAUGCCGAACUCAGAAGUGAAACGCCGUAGCGCCGAUGGUAGUGUGGGGUCUCCCCAUG